AAGAUGGGCGGGGCAGUAUGCGCGGAGGGAUCCUUGGCCUUUGAGGAAGGCGACGAGAAGAUCGGCGGCCAUCGCCGCCAUUUUGGGCUGGGAGGAGGCAGCGGAGGGACUCGCUGCGCAGGGCGCGGAUCCUGAGGCCGAGCUCUGUCAACUUCCCUCCCCACCCCCAUUCGGCCUGGGUAUGGCGGCGAGGUCCCGCACAGAGGGACUCCCACUUCGACUGGAGAAGUGGGGGCGACGCCAGAUUCCAGAGACUGGCGCCGCGGGGGAGGGCGGAGGUCGCAGGUCUGGCCGCAAGUCGGCGUGGCAGUCAACUGGAGGCUCCGAGAGCGGAGAUCCCAGUGCACCCACCUUACCUCGCUUACACCAAAGCGCCAUCUCGCCGCCUGGGGUGCGAAAAACCACGGCCGUCUUAAACUACUGUAGCAACCACUAAUUCCCCCUGGGACCAGCUAGAUAGGGGCACGUGGAAACCUUCACGAGCCCGGUGCCUGAAGGUCUCUGAGGCUCUUGCCCUCAAGAUCUCUCCCAUUCAGCCCCGAUUCUCCGGACACCCUGACCUAGCAUGUCGCCAGCCUGUUGGUGAAAACCCUGAAGUGUGCUGCCCCACUUCUCUUGAAGGUUUACACCAAAGGGAUGAGGUUUUGUGCUUUACAGGCUUGGGGCACAAAGUCGGAGUCACUGCGGCUCCGAAAUAGAAAUGGAGUUGCCCAUUUCGUAUGCUUCAUCAACAUCUGCUUGCAUUUUGAAAUCCGAGUCUUAACUUUUACAAAACUUGUAGAGAAAUGGCUGCCCUCCUAGAGGGAAAAACGAACUACAGUAAUUCCAAUUCCAGUGUAAUAAUCUUCGUAAGGCUACAGAAUCUUUCCAGUUUAAAGAUUUUUUUUUCCCACAGACUAAACAAAAUCAGAGUAUUUUGUGUUCUACUGAUGCAUUGUUAAUAGGUAACCUCUAUUUUGAAAUUCCAAGUAAUUGAAAGAUCAUUUUUGUAGAUCCUAAAUGCUACCAAAAUAGAAGUUGCAGUUUUUAUCUACUUAAUAUAUAUAGCGUUUAAGAGAUGAGAAGACCUGCUUUGAAAGAAUAAACUCUUAAUCUUACAGUAUAGCUGUAGCAGCUUCUUAAAGAUUGAAGUUUGAUGUGAAGUUCUUUUACUGAAUUGCAGGUUAAACCAUCUUAUUUUCUACUGCUUGAAAUCUAAAUCCAGAGAGAUUUGUGGCUCAAGGAUAUCUUCAAAUAAAAGUUUUGUUGCUAAAAUGUCAGUUAAAAUUAUGGCUAGGUAGGUUCUGAAGUAGGAGAGGCUUUGACGUAGCAGGGUGACUGGCAGUGAAUUUUGUGGGUACCUUGUGAUGAGUGUCAUUAUCAGUUACAAAUGGUCAAAACAUGCCUAAGCCUUCAGCCUUACUAAAAGUUUUCCAAAACUUGGCCCGGCACACUGGCUCACCUGUAAUCCCAGCCCUUUGGGAGGCGGGGGCGGGUGGAUCACCUGAGGUCAGGAGUUUGAGACCAACCUGGCCAACAAAUACAAAAGUAGCCAGGUGUGGUGGUGCGUGCCUGUAAUCCCAGCUACUCGGGAGGCUGAGGCAGGAGAAUUGCUUGAACCCAGAAGGCACUGUUUGCCAUGAGCCUCUCACCAUUGCACUCUAGCCUGGGCGACAGAGCAAGACUCCGUCUCAAAAGAAAAAAAAAGUUUUCCAGAACUGAAGUUCUGCUGCUCCUAUUAAUAAUUUUUCUUCAGUUGGAGUGACAACUCCAUAGCGUUAACUUUUUUCGCUCUGCUCGCCAGAUAUCUUACAACUGGAUUACAAAAUAGGAUCAUCAUUGACUAGGGUCCUCAAUCCAAAACUGGAACCACUUACUCCUAACUGAAGCUUCAGUACAUUUGAUCCCUACCGUGGGUUGAUUUUUUACCUACAUAUGGCAUGUUGCCUCUACACUGAUCAAGAGAUGUGAGCUUUAAAAAGCUAACUAACUUGGUGGGACUUAAAUAGU
This is a long non-coding RNA of Chlorocebus sabaeus (green monkey), 1989 nucleotides long. RefSeq lists it as uncharacterized. NCBI's taxonomy places the organism in Eukaryota, Metazoa, Chordata, Mammalia, Primates, Cercopithecidae. The record is from RefSeq and is a predicted model, not a curated record.